UCAAAUAAAAGAAGGCGGACGGCGGAGACCUAGGCACUCAGAGACGAUGAAGGGCGCAUUAACCGGCGAUACGCUUCGGGGAGUUGGAAACGAACUUUGAUCCGAAGAUUCCCGAAUGGGGCAACCCCUAGAACUCCUUUAUAAAUUCAUAAAAAGGAAGAGGCAACCCGGUGAAUUGAAACAUCUUAGUAACCGGAGGAAAAGAAAGCAAAAGCGAUUUCCUUAGUAGCGGCGAGCGAACCGGAAACAGCCUAAACUGUUUUUCAUUUGGAAAGCAGGGUUGUGGGAAGACACUAAAAAGUGAUUAUACAGAGAUAAAAACGAAGCAGCUGAAUCCUGCACCAUAGAUGGUGAAAGUCCAGUAGUUAGAGUCUAAUAAUUCUUGUCUUAUCCCGAGUAGCAUGGGGCACGUGAAAUCCCGUGUGAAUCUGCGAGGACCACCUCGUAAGGCUAAAUAUUCCUGAGUGACCGAUAGCGAAAUAGUACCGCGAGGGAAAGGAGAAAAGAACCCCCGGAGGGGAGUGAAAUAGAACAUGAAACCGUCCGCUGACAAGCAGUGGGAGGGUUGUUAAGCCUGACCGCGUGCCUGUUGAAGAAUGAGCCGGCGACUUAUAGGGAGUGGCGUGGUUAAGGAAAUUCAUCCGGAGCCAUAGCGAAAGCGAGUCUGAAUAGGGCAUUAUGUCACUUCUUAUGGACCCGAACCGGGAUGAUCUAACCCUGGCCAGAUUGAAGCGUGGGUAAAACUUCGUGGAGGAUCGAACGGACCGAUGUUGAAAAAUCGGCCGAUGAGUUGGGGUUAGCUGGAGAAAUUCCAAUCGAAUUCCGAGCUAGCUGGAUCUCUCCGAAAUUUGUUGAGGCGAAGCGGUGACAAUGGGCUGCCUUGGGGUAAAGCUACCGUUUCGGUGCGGGCUGCGAAAGCGGUACCAAGUCGUGACGAACUCAGAAUACAAGGUAUAGCUUUCUGUCAACCAGUGAGACUACGACGGAUAAGCGCCGUAGUCAAGAGGGAAACAGCCCAGAUCACCAGCUAAGGCCCCUAAAUGGACGCUAAGUGGUAAAGGAUGUGGGAAUGCGAAAACAACCAGGAAGUUCGCUUAGAAGCAGCUAACUUUAAAAGAGUGCGUAACAGCUCACUGGUAACAGCGUUCUUGCGCCGACAAUGGCCGGGACUAAGCGUCCUGCCGAAGCUGUGGGAUCGAGAAUAACUCGUAUCGGUAGGAGAGCGUUCUGCUAUCGGGUGAAGCUAUUACGUAAGUAGUGGUGGACGUAGCAGAAGUGAGAAUGUCGGCUUGAGUAACGAAAACAUUGGUGAGAAUCCAAUGCCCUGAAAACCUAAGAAUUCCUUCACUAGGCUCGUCCAUGAAGGGUUAGUCAGGACCUAAGGCAAGGCCGAAUGGCGUAGUCGACGGAAAUCAGGUUAAUAUUCCUGAACUUAUUUAAACGCUUCAGAUCCCGAGGGACGGAGGAGGCUAAACUAGGUUUGUUUAUGGAUUGCAAUGGAAGCGAUUAAGGCGUUGAGAGAUUGAAUAAAAACAAUUCUUGAGCUGAAACGUGAUCCCGUCUAGUUAAGUCUUCGGAUUUGAUUGGACGCUAGUGAUGUCACACUCCCAAGAAAAGCUCGUUCGAUUUUAGUUUAAAUAACCUGUAUCUGAAACCGACACAGGUAGGUGGGUAGAGAAUACCUAAGGGCGCGAGAGAACUCUCUUUAAGGAACUCGGCAAAUUGGCCCCGUAACUUCGGAAGAAGGGGUGCCCUCUUAACAGAGGGCCGCAGUGCCAAGACCCAAGCGACUGUUUACCAAAAACACAGGUCUCUGCAAAGUCGUAAGACGAUAUAUAGGGGCUGACGCUUGCCCAGUGCCGGAAGGUCAAGGAAGUUGGUUAUUCGUUUCGAAGAAGCUGGCGACCGAAGCCCCGGUGAACGGCGGCCGUAACUAUGACGGUCCUAAGGUAGCGAAAUUCUUUGUCGAGUAAGUUUCGACCUGCACGAAAAGCGUAACGAUUUGGGUACUGUCUCAAAGAGAGGCUCGGUGAAAUAGACUUGUCCGUGAAGAUGCGGACUACUUAUACCAGGACAGAAAGACCCUAUGAAGCUUGACUGUAGUUUGGAAUAGGGUUCGGGCUUUUCUUGCGCAGCCUAGGUGGGAGGCAUUGAGGAUUUCUUUUCGGGGAAAUCGGAGCCAUCAUUGAGAGACCACUCUGGAAGAGCUAGAAUCCUAAUGGCGUUCCUUGAAUCAGGACGCUUGACAGUUUCAGAUGGGCAGUUUUCUUGGGGCGAGAUUCUUAGUUAUGGGAUGCUUGGACAUUUUAUGAUCGUAGAUAAAUCGAUUUAAAACCUUUUAAUUAUCAAAAAAUCUUUUGAUCGUAUAAAAUUCAAGUAGAAUUUGACUAUAUGCUGGAAUGUUUCUAAGUUGACUUACUGUGGGAUAAGCUCGCCUUGUCGUUACCGACCACAACUGUUAAACAGUAGGGGUUUUUUAACCCCUGAAGCUAAUCAGCAGGGUCAUAAAAAAUAAUUUUGUGACCUUCAAAGACUUUACGUUAAACUUUUAAGUUAUUCUUUUAAACCUUAAAAGAUGAUAAAGUCUAACCUAAUAAUAAUUUAUUAGGUUGCCUAAAAGGUAACGGAGAAGCGCAAUGGUCCCCUCAACCUGGACGGAAAUCAGGCUUUGAGUGCAAAGGCAUAAGGGGGCUUGACUGCAAGACCUACAAGUCGAGCAGGGGCGAAAGCCGGCCUUAGUGAUCCGACGGUGCCGUGUGGAAGGGCCGUCGCUCAACGGAUAAAAGUUACUCUAGGGAUUAACUGUUAGUCCUCCCUCCAGUAAUGGCAGGGUGAGUUUAAACAAACAUGGUGAAUUGAAAGGAUAUACUACAUACUACAAAUAGAUAAGUAGAAUAUCUCGGGAAUAGCUAAGGAAAACAGUCUGUUUUCUAUGCCAACCCGCAGCCAAGCUAAGGUCUUGGUGAUGCUAGAGUUUUUACUUAUAGCAUCUGACUUUAGAAGGUUCAACGACUAGUGCUGCGCCUACCAAAGGCAAUAAUGCACAUAAGCGCCAUGUAACCAAACAUAGUUUUUUUUAGUGUUUUGAGUUAAAACUAGUUAGAACUCAGAAAUCAGGUAAGCACAAAUAGUUUGAAUUAUUAUAUAGAAAAAUAAAAUAAGGAAAAAAUAUGACAACUUAUCAAAAAGGUUUAACAUU
Molecule: ribosomal RNA, 3199 nt
Filed under: Chaetophoropsis cf. attenuata FACHB-2291
Lineage: Eukaryota; Viridiplantae; Chlorophyta; Chlorophyceae; Chaetophorales; Chaetophoraceae
Description: 23S ribosomal RNA
Rfam family: Bacterial large subunit ribosomal RNA (bases 1-2845)
Source: RNAcentral